GGGUGAGUAACGCGUAUGCAACCUACCUUAUACAGGAGUAUAGCCCGAAGAAAUUCGGAUUAAUCCUCCAUAGUAUUUUCUAAUGGCAUCAUUUGGAAAAUUAAAGCUUCGGCGGUAUAAGAUGGGCAUGCGUCCUAUUAGCUAGAUGGUAAGGUAAUGGCUUACCAUGGCAACGAUAGGUAGGGGGCCUGAGAGGGUGAUCCCCCACACUGGUACUGAGACACGGACCAGACUCCUACGGGAGGCAGCAGUGAGGAAUAUUGGGCAAUGGAGGCAACUCUGACCCAGCCAUGCCGCGUGCAGGAAGAAUGCCCUAUGGGUUGUAAACUGCUUUUAUUUAGGAAUAAACCCCUCUACGUGUAGAGGGCUGAAUGUACUAAACGAAUAAGCACCGGCUAACUCCGUGCCAGCAGCCGCGGUAAUACGGAGGGUGCAAGCGUUAUCCGGAAUCAUUGGGUUUAAAGGGUCCGCAGGCGGAUGUAUAAGUCAGUGGUGAAAUCCUGCAGCUUAACUGCAGAACUGCCAUUGAUACUGUACAUCUUGAAUUCGGUCGAAGUGGGCGGAAUGUGUAGUGUAGCGGUGAAAUGCAUAGAUAUUACACAGAACACCGAUAGCGAAGGCAGCUCACUAGGCCUGGAUUGACGCUCAGGGACGAAAGCGUGGGGAUCAAACAGGAUUAGAUACCCUGGUAGUCCACGCUGUAAACGAUGAUUACUCGUUUUCGGCGAUAUACAGUCGGAGACUAAGCGAAAGUGAUAAU
Molecule: ribosomal RNA, 760 nt
Filed under: uncultured Bacteroidota bacterium
Lineage: Bacteria; Pseudomonadati; Bacteroidota
Description: bacterial SSU rRNA
Rfam family: Bacterial small subunit ribosomal RNA
Source: RNAcentral